RNAcentral lists this long non-coding RNA (412 nucleotides) under Homo sapiens (human). Its description in RNAcentral is "non-protein coding lnc-GPR141-1:3". Lineage: Eukaryota; Metazoa; Chordata; Mammalia; Primates; Hominidae. The record is from RNAcentral.
GGACACCUUGUUGUAAACAGAAGAUCUACUGCUGACCACAAGCUAGCAGCCAUGAGCUAUGGCUGAUGUAAGGAAGGACACAGAAGAACAGACCAGCCAGGGUAAACUGGGGAUAUGCAGUGGGCACAGGUGAGAGAGAGGAGUUUGGCGGCACUGGUUUCCCAAGACACAGGACACAAGACCCCUCCAAUAAAACAGGAUGCAGUAGAGAAGCUGAGCAAAACCUACCAAAACCAAGAAGGCAACAGAAGUGGCCUCUGGUUACCCUUGCUGCUCAUUAUAUGCUAAUUAUAACACACUAGCAGGCAAAAAGGCACUCCCACCAGUGCCAUGAGGGUUUACAAAUGCCAUGGCAACCUGGCACCCCAAUCCCCACCCCCAAUAAAUUACCCGGAAAACUCAUGAAUAAUCC